Molecule: non-coding RNA, 392 nt
Filed under: Zootermopsis nevadensis
Lineage: Eukaryota; Metazoa; Arthropoda; Insecta; Blattodea; Termopsidae
Description: Eukaryotic small subunit ribosomal RNA
Rfam family: Eukaryotic small subunit ribosomal RNA
Source: Rfam by way of RNAcentral
AGAGCUCCUUAGUUCAAUAUCUCGGCACACACCGCAAUGCUGCGUACAAUAUUUUUCUAAUAUUAUGGGGUAUCCUUUCCGAAUAAUAAAUUAAUAGAUUAAGUUAUGUUAUUGAAACCAUGCUAUGUGGAACUGUGUAUAAGUACAGAUGAUUUUUUUAGCUCGGAAACUUGGAAAGAUAGAAGAAUAUUUUGAAGAACAAAAUGUUUUGUAUCGAAAGAGAAAUUUCAGUAAUAAAGAAUCAAACCUCUAGAACUGUAGGUGAAAUUCUUGGAUCGUCGCAAGAUGGACAGAAGCGAAAGCAUUUGCCAAGAAUGUUUUCUCUGAUCAAGAACGAAAGUUAGAGGUUCGAAGGCGAUCAGAUACCGCCCUAGUUCUAACCAUAGUUCGAC